Molecule: unclassified non-coding RNA, 374 nt
Filed under: soil metagenome
Description: partial contains internal transcribed spacer 2 and large subunit ribosomal RNA
Rfam family: 5.8S ribosomal RNA (bases 1-120)
Source: RNAcentral
GAUGAAGAACGUAGUGAAAUGCGAUAAUUAAUGUGAAUUGCAGAAUUCCGUGAAUCAUCGAGUCUUUGAACGCACAUUGCGCCUCAUGGCAUUCCGUGAGGCAUGCCCAUCUCAGCGUUAGAAAAUAUUCUCAAAUUUUAGUUUUGUGCUAAAAUUUGGAUCAUGUCAAGGAAGCUAUUACUAUUAUUGUGAUCGCUCUUUGGAAAUUGAUAGGUCUUUGAGUUGCUACUCAUAGAACGUGAUGAAUCUUUCUUCGUUCUAUUGUAAUUCACUCUGGUAGGCCUAAAACUUGUAUGCCUGUGGCAUAUCUUGUAAUUUGACCUGAGAUUGGGUAGGGAUACCCGCUGAACUUAAGCAUAUCAAUAAGCGGAGGA